UGGGAGGAGCUACAUCUCGCGCUCGCGUUCUGAGUAUUUCAGUUUCCCAAAUACGCUGUGUGUGUGUGUGUGUGUGCGCGCGUUGGCUCAAAGGAAGAGUUCCUCCAGAAAGACACGCAGCGAAUCUCAGAGCCAAAGGAGGAGCUGCUGUCUGUGACUUUGUCUCUUGUACCCGUCCUCAGAGUUUGAAGCUGAAGAAGAGUCCCUCCUACAGUCAGGACACAUAGUAACACUUUCAGGUAAUAUAUAUUCAAUACAAUCAUGCAUUCCUCUAGGAAAUUUAUUCCAGCAGCUUACAAAAACCCAACCCAACUGUCUGUCACCCAAUGCCAAAACUGAUUUCUGGUAAUACUUGGGCCGUAUCUUUUUCUCUAUAACUGAUUUCAUUUUCAAUGUUAUAAAAUGCUUCUCCUGAUUCAAAUGACCUGCAGACAGUGUUGAGGGGUCAAGGGAAAUAUAAAAGUUAUUUUAUGUGUAUCUUUGCAGGGAAUUGAAAUUUCCAUCAUGUUUUUCGUGUUGAGCAAUACCUUUCUAGCGAAGGCAUCUGCUGACGUUCUCUCCUCUGGCUGUGUUUUCUGGAAGAGCUCCUAAUCUGUCGGAGUUGAGAACCGUGGGACGCCGGGUAAUCAGGCCUGAGCUGCUCCUUCCAAACCAGCCAAACAUCUGGCUGCCUGCCGUUUGACCGCCUUGGCCACACACACACACACACACACGCACGCACGUUUGAUGCUAAAAGCGCUGCAGAGGAGCUCAGAAAUUACACUCAAUAAACACAGAAAUCAAAUAGAAC
Molecule: long non-coding RNA, 790 nt
Organism: Gasterosteus aculeatus aculeatus (three-spined stickleback)
Lineage: Eukaryota; Metazoa; Chordata; Actinopteri; Perciformes; Gasterosteidae
Source: Ensembl